Non-coding RNA from Mollisia scopiformis, 199 nucleotides. The record is from the annotation of a RefSeq genome assembly. NCBI's taxonomy places the organism in Eukaryota, Fungi, Ascomycota, Leotiomycetes, Helotiales, Mollisiaceae.
GGACAGAUGGCCGAGCUGGUAAAUCAAUUCUUUCUGAAGUUAGUUGUUGAAUAUUAACAGUUUACAGGUUAUGGCGGUAUGUACAAAUUAAAUUCAAUAGGUUAUUAAUUAUGCUAAAUAAAUGCUAGCCAGGUUAAGGUCUCCUUAGCACAAUUUCCUGGUCACGAAAGUGGCGCGAGUUCGAGUCUCGCUCUGUUCA